AUUGAACGCUAGCGGGAUGCUUUACACAUGCAAGUCGAACGGCAGCGCGGACUUCGGUCUGGCGGCGAGUGGCGAACGGGUGAGUAAUGUAUCGGAACGUGGCCAGUAGCGGGGGAUAACUACGCGAAAGCGUAGCUAAUACCGCAUACGCCCUACGGGGGAAAGCAGGGGAUCGUAAGACCUUGCACUAUUGGAGCGGCCGAUAUCGGAUUAGCUAGUUGGUGAGGUAACGGCUCACCAAGGCGACGAUCCGUAGCUGGUUUGAGAGGACGACCAGCCACACUGGGACUGAGACACGGCCCAGACUCCUACGGGAGGCAGCAGUGGGGAAUUUUGGACAAUGGGGGCAACCUUGAUCCAGCCAUCCCGCGUGUGCGAUGAAGGCCUUCGGGUUGUAAAGCACUUUUGGCAGGAAAGAAACGUCGCGGGCUAAUACCCCGUGGAACUGACGGUACCUGCAGAAUAAGCACCGGCUAACUACGUG
RNAcentral lists this ribosomal RNA (484 nucleotides) under uncultured bacterium. RNAcentral's name for it is "partial 16S ribosomal RNA". It matches the Rfam family "Bacterial small subunit ribosomal RNA", at positions 30 to 507 of the family's 1533-position model. The record is from RNAcentral.